CAGUAGCCGCGGGAAUACGAACCGUGCGAACGUUAUUCGGAAUCACUGGGCUUAAAGCGCGUGUAGGCGGGCCGCCGCGUCGGUCGCUGAAAUCCCCCGGCUCAACCGGGGAACUGGCGCCGAAACGGGCGGCCUGGAGGGGGGUAGGGGGGCCUGGAACUUCCGGUGGAGCGGUGAAAUGCGUUGAGAUCGGAAGGAACGCCCGUGGCGAAAGCGAGGCCCUGGACCCUUACUGACGCUGAGACGCGAAAGCCAGGGGAGCGAACGGGAUUAGAGACCCGAGUAGUCCCUGUCUCUUAUA
RNAcentral lists this ribosomal RNA (301 nucleotides) under uncultured bacterium. RNAcentral describes it as "partial 16S ribosomal RNA". It matches the Rfam family "Bacterial small subunit ribosomal RNA", at positions 509 to 807 of the family's 1533-position model. The record is from RNAcentral.